This 339-nucleotide unclassified non-coding RNA is filed under the name soil metagenome. RNAcentral describes it as "partial contains 5.8S ribosomal RNA, internal transcribed spacer 2, and large subunit ribosomal RNA". The stretch from base 1 to 120 matches the Rfam family "5.8S ribosomal RNA", at positions 35 to 154 of the family's 154-position model. The record is from RNAcentral.
GAUGAAGAACGCAGCGAAACGCGAUAGUUAAUGUGAAUUGCAGAAUUCAGUGAAUCAUCGAAUCUUUGAACGCACAUUGCGCCCCUCGGUAUUCCGUGGGGCAUGCCUGUUCGAGCGUCAUUUAACCCCUCAAGCCUAGCUUGGUAUUGGGUGCUUGUCCCGCCUCUCGCGCGGCGACUCACCUCAAAGUCAUUGGCAGCCCGCAUCUCGCCGGCCGUGAGCGCAGCACAGACGCGCUCUUGGCAACGACGGAUCGGCUCUCCAAAAGCUUAUUUCAACCACUGACCUCGGAUCAGGUAGGGAUACCCGCUGAACUUAAGCAUAUCAAUAAGCGGAGGA